RNAcentral lists this transfer RNA (18 nucleotides) under Pyrrhura picta. Its description in RNAcentral is "partial tRNA-Glu". The record is from RNAcentral. Lineage: Eukaryota; Metazoa; Chordata; Aves; Psittaciformes; Psittacidae.
GUUUUUGUAGUUGAUAUA